AAUCCCACUCAAACAGUUGGAUAUGCCAGAAGAGGCUGGUGGAAAGCUCGGCGGAUCAGUGCUCCACCUCCACACCCACUGCAGAAUGAAAACUCAGCUGAGCUGGUUGACAGCUCAUCUUGGCCUUCAAUUUUUUUCAGUGCUGUCGAAGACAAGGGUAUGCUGAUCUGCAUGCAGGAUGUGGCUGAUGGUGCUUGAUGGAAUCAAUAGCUAGAGGCCACGAACUUAUCUAUCACCCCUCGUACAUUGAUUGUAUUGAAAAUGGAUAGAUUUCUGGAUACAAAAGGAAUCAAGGAAUAUAAGGAGGGAUUAGGAACAAGGAGCUGAGGCCAGUGUUCUGCACAGUAGUUUUUCAUUGCUCCCACUCGCUUGAAAUUGGAAUCAAGCCGGAUGGAAAAUAUACGUAUUCACAUGCUUCCAGCAGGACCCAAUCCAGACCAGGGCAUCUUCUUGCAGGACAUAACCCAGGCCACAGCAACUUCAUAUGGGACCUGAUCCAAUCCAUGGUAACUUCAUGCAGGGCCUGAUCCAGACCACAGCAACUUCUUCCUGUGCUUCCUUGACCAGGGCACCCUUUUUUGUAAUUCUGCUCCUUUCCUAUGUUGGCGACUAAGGUGUUGCUGUACCCUGACUACUCCACACAGGACGAAAUUUGCGUUCCAGCAGCAGACUCAGUCCUUUGCUCAAUUGUGUGCAGACUAGAAUUUAGGACUGAUCAGCUACCAGGGCUGAGUUCCUUUCUCCCAUAUAACAAAGUCAAGGGUUAGCCUUCUUGGUGGAACCUCUAAAUAACUGUCGUCUCCAAUAAUAAAAUAAAAUAUCUGGACCCACACUCUUAUGACUCAAUCGCAUUUUAUUUUAC
Mobula hypostoma (lesser devil ray) is the source of this 862-nucleotide long non-coding RNA. RefSeq lists it as uncharacterized. The record is from RefSeq and is a predicted model, not a curated record. NCBI's taxonomy places the organism in Eukaryota, Metazoa, Chordata, Chondrichthyes, Myliobatiformes, Myliobatidae. The transcript is spliced from 4 exons.